This 375-nucleotide ribosomal RNA is filed under the name uncultured bacterium. RNAcentral's name for it is "bacterial SSU rRNA". It matches the Rfam family "Bacterial small subunit ribosomal RNA", at positions 524 to 898 of the family's 1533-position model. The record is from RNAcentral.
AACGUAGGACGCGAGCGUUAUCCGGAUUUACUGGGCGUAAAGCGCGUGCAGGCGGUCUGUUAAGUCGUGCGUGAAAGCUCCCUGGCUCAACCGGGAGAGGUCGUACGAGACUGGCAGGCUUGAGGGCAGCAGAGGAGUGUAGAAUUCCGGGUGUAGUGGUGAAAUGCGUAGAUAUCCGGAGGAACACCAGUGGCGAAGGCGACACUCUGGGCUGUACCUGACGCUAAGACGCGAAAGCAUGGGUAGCGAACGGGAUUAGAAACCCCGGUAGUCCAUGCCGUAAACGAUGUGCACUAGGCGUAGGGGGGUCACACCCGCUGUGCCGAAGCUAACGCGAUAAGUGCACCGCCUGGGGACUACGGCCGCAAGGCUAAA